ACGUGGGUGGCUCAGUUGGUUGAGUGUCUGACUUCAGCUCAGGUCAUGAUCUCAUGGUCAGUGAGUUCGAGCCCCACGUU
Molecule: transfer RNA, 80 nt
Filed under: Felis catus (domestic cat)
Lineage: Eukaryota; Metazoa; Chordata; Mammalia; Carnivora; Felidae
Rfam family: tRNA
About the family: Transfer RNA (tRNA) molecules are approximately 80 nucleotides in length. Their secondary structure includes four short double-helical elements and three loops (D, anti-codon, and T loops).
Source: Rfam by way of RNAcentral